RNAcentral lists this ribosomal RNA (465 nucleotides) under Vreelandella stevensii. RNAcentral's name for it is "partial 16S ribosomal RNA". It matches the Rfam family "Bacterial small subunit ribosomal RNA", at positions 338 to 795 of the family's 1533-position model. Lineage: Bacteria; Pseudomonadati; Pseudomonadota; Gammaproteobacteria; Oceanospirillales; Halomonadaceae. The record is from RNAcentral.
CCUACGGGUGGCUGCAGUGGGGAAUAUUGGACAAUGGGGGGAACCCCGAUCCAGCCAUGCCGCGUGUGUGAAGAAGGCCCUCGGGUUGUAAAGCACUUUCAGUGAGGAAGAACGCCUGGUGGUUAAUACCCAUCAGGAAAGACAUCACUCACAGAAGAAGCACCGGCUAACUCCGUGCCAGCAGCCGCGGUAAUACGGAGGGUGCGAGCGUUAAUCGGAAUUACUGGGCGUAAAGCGCGCGUAGGUGGCUUGAUAAGCCGGUUGUGAAAGCCCCGGGCUCAACCUGGGAACGGCAUCCGGAACUGUCAAGCUAGAGUGCAGGAGAGGAAGGUAGAAUUCCCGGUGUAGCGGUGAAAUGCGUAGAGAUCGGGAGGAAUACCAGUGGCGAAGGCGGCCUUCUGGACUGACACUGACACUGAGGUGCGAAAGCGUGGGUAGCAAACAGGAUUAGAUACCCGAGUAGUC